AAUGUCACAGAAAUGCAGGAGACUCUGGAGCUAGCUUGUUAAAGCAACGCAGCCAGAGACCGACUGAAGGAACUCAGGGAGCUUAAAUAGAGAAGCUCCGCCUAGGGGAGUGGUUUCCUAUGACAACCCUCCUCCUAAACGAUACUGC
Bufo bufo (common toad) is the source of this 148-nucleotide long non-coding RNA. RefSeq lists it as uncharacterized. The record is from RefSeq and is a predicted model, not a curated record. Lineage: Eukaryota; Metazoa; Chordata; Amphibia; Anura; Bufonidae. The transcript has 3 exons.